CUGUGUAACACGUGGCAUUGUUUCUCUUGCACCUUCUGCCAUGAUUGUGUGGCCUUCCCAGCCAUGUGGAACUGAAACCUACAGGUUGCAGAAGAAAAUGGCUGGUGGAAAUGCAGCAGGAAGAAUAACAUGGUUCUGAAACCAGCAUCCUUUCCUACUUGGAGCGUAGGGCUGAAACCAUGAGGCGAUUUCUCUACUUUGCUGGCUGUUUCCUGAGCAAGUGACAAGAUGGAGCUGAUUAAAAGAAGACAAGGGAAGUCUCAGUGCCAGACCACUUCAGAAAUGAAGCAUUCCAGAAAGGCAUGUACGAACUCCUGUCAGAAACAGGAAUGAUUUCAUGGCCCCUUUUGCAUAUUAAUGAACUACAAGUAACCUCAGUUUAGCGGUGCAGAUGCAACAUUUCAGGAGCUGUGCCAGAAUUCAGCGAUAAAUGCCAGCUCCAGGGGAAAUACAUUUCAUGAUAGAAUUAGGAGAGCAGCCAUCUGAGACGUCCACAGAAAUCGCCACCCCCCUUGAAAUGGAAGGGGGUGCCUGGGGAGCUGGGCACUGGUGGCAGUGGAUGUGGGGUAUCGGGUCAUUUUUCUAAAACCAGUUCCCAGGCAUGCUCUCAAUCUUCUACUCUUCUGACACUGCAUAUUUCCUCAAGCAACAAAAUCAUUUGCCAAAAGGUCAAGCUUAGGUGAAUUGAUUAAUUUGGCUGCCUAUUUUUCUGGUGUAACUUAAAAAAAAAUGUUUAAUCAUAUAGUUCUCCUUGUUUUAGAAGCAAAAUACCUCUUUUUGCUUCUUCCCCACCCUGCUCCCCCAACUGCCUGUCAGGCAUUUUUUUCCCCCAACUUCUUGCAACCUGUGGUUGUAUUUUCUGGCAGAAGGCAAGCUCUCAGCAGUCCUCUUUUCUUCCAGUGCUCCUCCAGAAUUUGCUUGAUUCUCGCCCCCUUGCUCGCUCAUUCCCCUU
Long non-coding RNA from Gorilla gorilla gorilla (western lowland gorilla), 952 nucleotides. RefSeq lists it as uncharacterized. The transcript is spliced from 4 exons. NCBI's taxonomy places the organism in Eukaryota, Metazoa, Chordata, Mammalia, Primates, Hominidae. The record is from RefSeq and is a predicted model, not a curated record.